RNAcentral lists this microRNA precursor (96 nucleotides) under Propithecus coquereli (Coquerel's sifaka). RNAcentral describes it as "microRNA 449b (ENSPCOG00000011160.1)". It matches the Rfam family "mir-449 microRNA precursor family". Lineage: Eukaryota; Metazoa; Chordata; Mammalia; Primates; Indriidae. The record is from RNAcentral.
ACCUGAAUCAGGUAGGCAGUGUAUUGUUAGCUGGCUGCUUUGGGUCAAGUCAGCAGCCACGACUACCCUGCCACUUGCUUCUGGAUAAAUUCUUCU